RNAcentral lists this ribosomal RNA (460 nucleotides) under uncultured bacterium. RNAcentral describes it as "partial 16S ribosomal RNA". It matches the Rfam family "Bacterial small subunit ribosomal RNA", at positions 338 to 795 of the family's 1533-position model. The record is from RNAcentral.
CCUACGGGUGGCAGCAGUGAGGAAUAUUGGUCAAUGGGCGAGAGCCUGAACCAGCCAAGUAGCGUGAAGGAUGAAGGUCCUAUGGUUUGUAAACUUCUUUUAUAUGGGAAUAAAGUGAGGAACGUGUUCCUUUUCGUAUGUACCAUAUGAAUAAGCAUAGGCUCACUCCGUGCCAGCAGCCGCGGUAAUACGGAGGAUGCGAGCGUUAUCCGGAUUUAUUGGGUUUAAAGGGUGCGUAGGUGGUUAAUUAAGUCAGCGGUGAAAGUUUGUGGCACAACCCUCACAUUGCCGUUGAAACUGGUUAACUUGAGUAUAUUUGAGGUAUGCGGAAUGCGUGGUGUAGCGGUGAAAUGCAUAGAUAUCACGCAGAACUCCGAUUGCGAAGGCAGCUUACUAACCUAUAACUGACGCUGAAGCACGAAAGCGUGGGGAUCAAACAGGAUUAGAUACCCUGGUAGUC